This 374-nucleotide ribosomal RNA is filed under the name uncultured organism. Its description in RNAcentral is "partial 16S ribosomal RNA". It matches the Rfam family "Bacterial small subunit ribosomal RNA", at positions 527 to 896 of the family's 1533-position model. The record is from RNAcentral.
GUAGGUGGCAAGCGUUGUCCGGAAUUAUUGGGCGUAAAGCGCGCGCAGGUGGGUUCUUUAAAUCUGAUGUGAAAGCCCCCGGGCUCAACCGGGGAGGGUCAUUGGAAACUGGGGAACUUGAGUGCAGGAGAGGAAAGUGGAAUUCCACGUGUAGCGAUGAAAUGCGUAGAUAUGUGGAGGAACACCAGUGGCGAAGGCGACUUUCUGGCCUGUAACUGACACUGAGGCGCGAAAGCGUGGGGAGCAAACAGGAUUAGAUACCCUGGUAGUCCACGCCGUAAACGAUGAGUGCUAAGUGUUGGGGGGUUUCCGCCCCUCAGUGCUGCAGCUAACGCAUUAAGCACUCCGCCUGGGGAGUACGGUCGCAAAGACUG